GCUGUCUACGGUGGUGGACGUGAUCGCACUAGGCCGAGCGAGGAUGAAGCACAACCCGAUUAUGGACGCCAUAGGCCUUCUUACGGUGGAGAAGAAGAAGAGUCGGGCUACCGCAAGCCAAGACCUGCAUACGGUGAAGAAGAAGAAGAGUCGGGCUACCGCAAGCCAAGACCCUCAUACGGCGAAGAAGAAUCCGAGGAAGGGGGAUACCGCAAGUCCAGACCUUCCUACGGCGAGGAAGAGUCCGAGGAGGGAGGAUACCGCAAAUCGAGACCCUCAUAUGGCGAGGAAGAGUCCGAGGAGGGAGGAUACCGCAAAUCCAGACCCUCAUAUGGCGAGGAAGAGUCCGAGGAGGGAGGAUACCGCAAAUCCAGACCCUCAUAUGGCGAGGAAGAGUCCGAGGAGGGAGGAUACCGCAAGCCGAAACCUAAAUACGGCGACGACGAGGAGGUGUCCGAUUACCGUAGGUCAGGAUACGGUGAAGAAGAAGAGUCUGGUUAUCGCGAACCGAAGC
This 514-nucleotide long non-coding RNA is filed under the name Physcomitrium patens. RNAcentral's name for it is "long non-coding RNA (PPAT_LNC008958)". Lineage: Eukaryota; Viridiplantae; Streptophyta; Bryopsida; Funariales; Funariaceae. The record is from RNAcentral.